Molecule: ribosomal RNA, 253 nt
Filed under: uncultured bacterium
Lineage: Bacteria
Description: partial 16S ribosomal RNA
Rfam family: Bacterial small subunit ribosomal RNA
Source: RNAcentral
UACGGGGGGGGCGAGCGUUGUUCGGAAUUACUGGGCGUAAAGGGCUCGUAGGUGGCCAACUAAGUCAGACGUGAAAUCCCUCGGCUUAACCGGGGAACUGCGUCUGAUACUGGAUGGCUUGAGAUUGGGAGAGGGAUGCGGAAUUCCAGGUGUAGCGGUGAAAUGCGUAGAUAUCGGGAGGAACACCAGUGGCGAAGGCGGCCUUCUGGCUCGUGUCUGACGCUGUAGCGCGAAAGCGUGGGGAGCGAACGGG